GUCGUACGAGAAGCCUCUUCGGAGGUUAGUAAAGUGGCGCACGGGUGAGUAACACGUGGGUAAUCUGCCCUUAGGUUUGGGAUAACCCCGGGAAACCGGAGCUAAUACCGAAUAAGACCACGAUGACUUCGGUCGAUGUGGGAAAAGAUGGCCUCUUCUUGAAAGCUAUCGCCAAUGGAUGAGCCUGCGGUUGAUUAGCUUGUUGGUGAGGUAACGGCUCACCAAGGCGACGAUCAAUAGCUGAUCUGAGAGGAUGAUCAGUCACACUGGAACUGAGACACGGUCCAGACUCCUACGGGAGGCAGCAGUCGGGAAUAUUGGGCAAUGGGCGAAAGCCUGACCCAGCAACGCCGCGUGAAGGAUGAAGGCCCUAGGGUCGUAAACUUCUGUCGAGAGGGAAGAAUGCGUGCGGGUAAAUAAUCCGUACGUUUGACGGUACCUCCAAAGGAAGCACCGGCUAACUCCGUGCCAGCAGCCGCGGUAAUACGGAGGGUGCAAGCGUUGUUCGGAUUUAUUGGGCGUAAAGCGAGUGUAGGCGGUUUGACAAGUCGAAUGUGAAAUCCCGAGGCCCAACCUCGGAACUGCAUCCGAAACUGUCAGGCUAGAGUCCCGGAGAGGGUGGCGGAAUUCCCGGUGUAGGGGUGAAAUCCGUAGAUAUCGGGAGGAACACCAGUGGCGAAGGCGGCCACCUGGACGGUGACUGAC
Molecule: ribosomal RNA, 705 nt
Filed under: uncultured delta proteobacterium
Lineage: Bacteria; Deltaproteobacteria
Description: bacterial SSU rRNA
Rfam family: Bacterial small subunit ribosomal RNA
Source: RNAcentral